This 442-nucleotide ribosomal RNA is filed under the name uncultured bacterium. Its description in RNAcentral is "partial 16S ribosomal RNA". It matches the Rfam family "Bacterial small subunit ribosomal RNA", at positions 338 to 795 of the family's 1533-position model. The record is from RNAcentral.
CCUACGGGGGGCUGCAGUAGGGAAUCUUUCACAAUGGGCGAAAGCCUGAUGGAGCAACGCCGCGUGCAGGAUGAAGGCCUUCGGGUUGUAAACCGCUUUUAUAAGCGAGAAAUAUGAUGGUAACUUAUGAAUAAGGAUCGGCUAACUACGUGCCAGCAGCCGCGGUCAUACGUAGGAGCCGAGCAUUAUCCGGAGUGACUGGGUGUAAAGAGUUGCGUAGGUGGCAUAAUAAGUAGCUAGUGAAAUCUGGUGGCUCAACCAUUCAGACUAUUAGCUAAACUGUUAGGCUCGAGAGCGUGAGGGGUAAGUGGAAUUUCUAGUGUAGGAGUGAAAUGCGUAGUUAUUAGAAGGAACACCAAUGGCGUAGGCAGGUUACUGGGACGGUACUGACACUGAGGCACGAAAGCGUGGGGAGCAAACAGGAUUAGAUACCCUAGUAGUC